UCAGACAAAGGUAUAGUAUUAGAGGGUGAAUUGGAAGUAGAAGUAGGAAAUGAAUGAGAAGAAGCAGGGGAAUGGGAAGGACUGAUUGAUGGAAGAUUAGGAGAAGCAAGAUAGUCAGGGCAGGGAGGAGGAAUAGAAGAUGAAGCAGAUACAUCAGUAGGAUGUGGAUAGUCAUGGCAAAAAGAAGGAAUAGAAGAUGGGACAGAGGAGGUACUCCAAGGAAAAGCAAAAGGAAAAACAUCUUCAUGGAAAACAACAUCCCUGGAAAUGAAAGUAAGUUUAGUUUUCAAGUUAUAUAAUUUGUAACCCUUUUUACCCAGUGGGUACCCUAUGAAUACACAAGGAUCAGCCCUUGGUUGAAACUUAUCUCUA
RNAcentral lists this long non-coding RNA (372 nucleotides) under Nicotiana benthamiana. Its description in RNAcentral is "long non-coding RNA (NBEN_LNC037058)". Lineage: Eukaryota; Viridiplantae; Streptophyta; Magnoliopsida; Solanales; Solanaceae. The record is from RNAcentral.